UGGUUCUGGCAUCGAUGAAGAACGCAGCGAAAUGCGAUAAGUAAUGUGAAUUGCAGAAUUCAGUGAAUCAUCGAAUCUUUGAACGCACAUUGCGCCCUCUGGUAUUCCGGGGGGCAUGCCUGUUCGAGCGUCAUUACAACCCUCAAGCUAUGCUUGGUAUUAAGCCUCACCCGUGAGGGCGGGCUAUAAAAUCAGUGGCGGUGCCAUUCGGCUUCAAGCGUAGUAAUUCUCUCGCUUUGGAGGUCUGGUUGUGUACCUGCCAGUAACCCCAAUAUUUUAUCAAGGUUGACCUCGGAUCAGGUAGGGAUACCCGCUGA
RNAcentral lists this unclassified non-coding RNA (317 nucleotides) under uncultured fungus. Its description in RNAcentral is "partial contains 5.8S ribosomal RNA and internal transcribed spacer 2". The stretch from base 1 to 133 matches the Rfam family "5.8S ribosomal RNA", at positions 22 to 154 of the family's 154-position model. The record is from RNAcentral. Lineage: Eukaryota; Fungi.